AACGAACGCUGGCGGCAUGCCUAACACAUGCAAGUCGAGCGAGACCUUCGGGUCUAGUGGCGCACGGGUGCGUAACGCGUGGGAACCUUCCCUUAGGUUCGGAAUAACUCCCCGAAAGGGGUGCUAAUACCGGAUAAUGUCUUCGGACCAAAGAUUUAUCGCCUUUGGAUGGGCCCGCGUUGGAUUAGCUAGUUGGUAGGGUAAAAGCCUACCAAGGCGACGAUCCAUAGCUGGUCUGAGAGGAUGAUCAGCCACACUGGGACUGAGACACGGCCCAGAAUCCUACGGGAGGCAGCAGUGGGGAAUAUUGGACAAUGGGCGAAAGCCUGAUCCAGCAAUGCCGCGUGAGUGAUGAAGGCCUUAGGGUUGUAAAGCUCUUUUAACCGGGAUGAUAAUGACAGUACCGGGAGAAUAAGCGCCGGCUAACUCCGUG
This 433-nucleotide ribosomal RNA is filed under the name uncultured bacterium. Its description in RNAcentral is "partial 16S ribosomal RNA". It matches the Rfam family "Bacterial small subunit ribosomal RNA", at positions 29 to 507 of the family's 1533-position model. The record is from RNAcentral.